CCGCAGGGUCUACACCAUGGGGGGUCGAUGGGAGAAAAUCUCCUGUUGGCUUACCUUACUCUUCUCAUCGGGGAAAUAGGGUGACCAGGG
Chelonoidis abingdonii (Abingdon island giant tortoise) is the source of this 90-nucleotide non-coding RNA. NCBI's taxonomy places the organism in Eukaryota, Metazoa, Chordata, Testudines, Testudinidae. The record is from RefSeq and is a predicted model, not a curated record.